This 517-nucleotide unclassified non-coding RNA is filed under the name Hevea brasiliensis (rubber tree). The record is from RNAcentral. Lineage: Eukaryota; Viridiplantae; Streptophyta; Magnoliopsida; Malpighiales; Euphorbiaceae.
ACUGUCUGCUAGCACCAUUGCACCUAUUGGGAGAUAUAACUGUUACUUCAGAAUUAUCAUUGAGUAAUGCAUGCCGCAAGAAGGAUAAAGUAGAAACCUUAGAGCUCAAGGUAGUCCUAAUUUUAUGAUUGUCACAAAUACAGAUACAACCUAUCAUACAGAAAUUCCUAUCUUGGGUAUUUUUCCAAACUUUAAAUGUCUCUUAAAUUUCAAAUUCUAUAUGUAGUAUUUCUAACUCUAUAAUAAAGUGUUGAAGCUAUGCUAUGGUGUGAGAUUGUGAGUUUCUAAACAGAGCAAAGGUCAUGAAACACCCAACAAAUAAGACCUGGACACAUCACCCUUCAACAAGUUCCCUGCAGCACCCAAGUGCAUUAAAAUGCCAGAUCACUAUGUUCCUAAGCCUUGGAACAAGCAUAUAGCCUUUUGAACUUACAUCUUAAAGAUUGUUCCCAAUGCGUGAGACUCCCUAUUUUGUAAAGGUUUGGGGAGGAUGAUUGAUGUAGAACAAAGGGAAAGA